Molecule: transfer-messenger RNA, 241 nt
Filed under: Clostridiaceae bacterium
Lineage: Bacteria; Bacillati; Bacillota; Clostridia; Eubacteriales; Clostridiaceae
Description: partial transfer-messenger RNA
Rfam family: transfer-messenger RNA
About the family: Bacterial tmRNA, also known as 10Sa RNA or SsrA, is named for its dual tRNA and mRNA-like properties. Its role is to liberate the mRNA from a stalled ribosome.
Source: RNAcentral
GGGGGCGUAAAUGGUCUCGACGGGGGUACAGUGGAUUCGAGAAGCGAGCCGUGGUUUGGUCUCUGGUGCCACGUAAAAAAGCUGGGGACAAAAAAUAAACAACAACGAUAAUUUAGCUUUAGCGGCUUAAUUUAAGCUGCUCGUUCAACCUAGGAAUCCCACGGCUUAGGAUUGGGCGUCGACUAGUGGGGAACCGAGCCUUACAAAGCUUUGAGUAGGGAACGGAAUUUAUGAAGCUACU